UGACCCCGUGCGGGAGAGACCGUGCCGACCCCGGCACGGCGCCGAAGGAGCAACCCCUCCCCGACAACCUCUCAGGCUAUUGGGACCGUACGGGCGAG
RNAcentral lists this non-coding RNA (98 nucleotides) under Actinopolyspora erythraea. Its description in RNAcentral is "Glycine sequence". It matches the Rfam family "Glycine riboswitch aptamer". From Rfam's summary of the family: This family represents the bacterial glycine riboswitch. Glycine riboswitches usually consist of two metabolite-binding aptamers domains with similar structures in tandem. The record is from RNAcentral. Lineage: Bacteria; Bacillati; Actinomycetota; Actinomycetes; Actinopolysporales; Actinopolysporaceae.